Molecule: ribosomal RNA, 253 nt
Filed under: uncultured bacterium
Lineage: Bacteria
Description: partial 16S ribosomal RNA
Rfam family: Bacterial small subunit ribosomal RNA
Source: RNAcentral
UACGUAGGUGGCGAGCGUUGUCCGGAUUUACUGGGCGUAAAGAGCGCGCAGGCGGUCGUUCAAGUCGCGUGUGAAAGCCCCCGGCUCAACUGGGGAGGGUCACGCGAUACUGAUCGACUCGAAGGCAGGAGAGGGAAGUGGAAUUCCCGGUGUAGUGGUGAAAUGCGUAGAUAUCGGGAGGAACACCGGUGGCGAAGGCGGCAUCCUGGACCGGCAUUGACGCUGAGGCGCGAAAGCUAGGGGAGCAAACGGG